RNAcentral lists this ribosomal RNA (177 nucleotides) under uncultured bacterium. RNAcentral's name for it is "partial 16S ribosomal RNA". It matches the Rfam family "Bacterial small subunit ribosomal RNA", at positions 597 to 773 of the family's 1533-position model. The record is from RNAcentral.
AAUACCUUCGGGUUAACCGGAGUAGUGCAUCAGAAACUGUUGAACUUGAGUGCAGAAGAGGAGAGUGGAACUCCAUGUGUAGCGGUGGAAUGCGUAGAUAUAUGGAAGAACACCAGUGGCGAAGGCGGCUCUCUGGUCUGCAACUGACGCUGAGGCUCGAAAGCAUGGGUAGCGAAC